This 293-nucleotide ribosomal RNA is filed under the name Escherichia coli. RNAcentral's name for it is "partial 16S ribosomal RNA". It matches the Rfam family "Bacterial small subunit ribosomal RNA", at positions 315 to 600 of the family's 1533-position model. The record is from RNAcentral. Lineage: Bacteria; Pseudomonadati; Pseudomonadota; Gammaproteobacteria; Enterobacterales; Enterobacteriaceae.
GGAACUGAGACACGGUCCAGACUCCUACGGGAGGCAGCAGUGGGGAAUAUUGCACAAUGGGCGCAAGCCUGAUGCAGCCAUGCCGCGUGUAUGAAGAAGGCCUUCGGGUUGUAAAGUACUUUCAGCGGGGAGGAAGGGAGUAAAGUUAAUACCUUUGCUCAUUGACGUUACCCGCAGAAGAAGCACCGGCUAACUCCGUGCCAGCAGCCGCGGUAAUACGGAGGGUGCAAGCGUUAAUCGGAAUUACUGGGCGUAAAGCGCACGCAGGCGGUUUGUUAAGUCAGAUGUGAAAU